GCCGGAGAGAAAGGCUGACCCUAUCAAAAAAGGAUCAUGAAUGGUCCCUUAGCACAAUAAGAGGUGCUGGGGAUGGCGAUCCAACUCCUACCCUGGCUUAGACGGAACAGAGAUCCUUUCAAGCCCUCCUCACUCAACAAGGGGAAUGAUUCUAAUCCAGCGGGGGUUAGUAAAAGACUAGGCCAAUGGUGCUCCACCAGCAACCUCUUACCCUCGUUCAACGAAUAAAGUGAAAUCAGUCCUUUCGCUCUUACACAGGAAAGAAAAAAGCAUUCAACCUUCUAGGACUAAGCCUAAGGCCAAU
RNAcentral lists this long non-coding RNA (304 nucleotides) under Theobroma cacao (cacao). RNAcentral describes it as "long non-coding RNA (TCAC_LNC006455)". The record is from RNAcentral. Lineage: Eukaryota; Viridiplantae; Streptophyta; Magnoliopsida; Malvales; Malvaceae.